AUACGUAGGGGGCGAGCGUUGUCCGGAAUGAUUGGGCGUAAAGGGCGCGUAGGCGGCCCGGUAAGUCUGGAGUGAAAGUCCUGUUUUUAAGAUGGGAAUUGCUUUGGAUACUGUCGGGCUUGAGUGCAGGAGAGGUAAGUGGAAUUCCUAGUGGAGCGGUAAAAUGCGCAGAUAUUAGGAAGAACACCGGUGGCGAAGGCGGCUAUCUGGACAGUAACUGACGCUGAGGCGCGAAAGCGUGGGGAGCAAACAGGAUUAGAUACCCGGGUAGUCCACGCCGUAAACGAUGAAUACUAGGUGUAGGGGGUAUCGACUCCCUCUGUGCCGCAGGUAACACAAUAAGCAUUCCGCCUGGGGUGUACGGCCGCAAGGUGGAAACUCAAAUGAAUUGGCGGGG
RNAcentral lists this ribosomal RNA (397 nucleotides) under uncultured bacterium. RNAcentral describes it as "partial 16S ribosomal RNA". It matches the Rfam family "Bacterial small subunit ribosomal RNA", at positions 523 to 918 of the family's 1533-position model. The record is from RNAcentral.